AGUGAACGCUGGCGGUAGGCCUAACACAUGCAAGUCGAACGGCAGCACAGGAGAGCUUGCUCUCUGGGUGGCGAGUGGCGGACGGGUGAGGAAUACAUCGGAAUCUACUUUUUCGUGGGGGAUAACGUAGGGAAACUUACGCUAAUACCGCAUACGACCUACGGGUGAAAGCAGGGGAUCUUCGGACCUUGCGCGAUUGACUGAGCCGAUGUCGGAUUAGCUAGUUGGCGGGGGAAAGGCCCACCAAGGCGACGAUCCGUAGCUGGUCUGAGAGGAUGAUCAGCCACACUGGAACUGAGACACGGUCCAGACUCCUACGGGAGGCAGCAGUGGGGAAUAUUGGACAAUGGGCGCAAGCCUGAUCCAGCCAUACCGCGUGGGUGAAGAAGGCCUUCGGGUUGUAAAGCCCUUUUGUUGGGAAAGAAAUCCAGCUGGUUAAUACCCGGUUGAGAUGACGGUACCCAAAGAAUAAGCACCGGCUAACUUCGUGCCAGCCGCCGCGGUAA
Molecule: ribosomal RNA, 506 nt
Filed under: uncultured bacterium
Lineage: Bacteria
Description: partial 16S ribosomal RNA
Rfam family: Bacterial small subunit ribosomal RNA
Source: RNAcentral